This 215-nucleotide unclassified non-coding RNA is filed under the name Basidiomycota sp. Its description in RNAcentral is "partial contains small subunit ribosomal RNA, internal transcribed spacer 1, and 5.8S ribosomal RNA". The stretch from base 1 to 47 matches the Rfam family "Eukaryotic small subunit ribosomal RNA", at positions 1785 to 1831 of the family's 1831-position model. Lineage: Eukaryota; Fungi; Basidiomycota. The record is from RNAcentral.
AAAGUCAUAACAAGGUUUCCGUAGGUGAACCUGCGGAAGGAUCAUUAAUGAUGCCCUCGAAGUCUUUGGACUGGUAGGGUUUGUGUCGGUCUCUCCGGAGCCGACCUUAUCUCACACACCGUGAACUGUGGCUUCGGCCAUUUACACAAACUGUUAGUAAUGAAUGUAACAUCAUAACAAACAUAAAACUUUUAACAACGGAUCUCUUGGCUCUC